RNAcentral lists this unclassified non-coding RNA (368 nucleotides) under soil metagenome. RNAcentral describes it as "partial contains 5.8S ribosomal RNA, internal transcribed spacer 2, and large subunit ribosomal RNA". The stretch from base 1 to 120 matches the Rfam family "5.8S ribosomal RNA", at positions 35 to 154 of the family's 154-position model. The record is from RNAcentral.
GAUGAAGAACGCAGCGAAACGCGAUACGUAAUGUGAAUUGCAGAAUUCAGUGAACCAUCGAAUCUUUGAACGCACAUUGCGCCCGGCAGUAAUCUGCCGGGCAUGCCUGUCCGAGCGUCAUUUCUGCCCUCGAGCGAGUCCAGCAUCUAGGUGCUGGGCCCGCCCGGCGUUGGGGCACUACGGGAAGCCCUGUGCUGUCCCCCGUAGGCCCCGAAAUGAAGUGGCGGUCCUGCCGCGGCGCCCCCUGCGUAGUAUAACAGCUCGCUUCGGGACCCGGUGGAGGCCUGCCGUCAAACCUUACUCUCUAAGUUUGACCUCGGAUCAGGUAGGGUUACCCGCUGAACUUAAGCAUAUCAAUAAGCGGAGGA